This 385-nucleotide RNase P RNA is filed under the name Clostridiales bacterium. RNAcentral's name for it is "RNase P RNA component class A". It matches the Rfam family "Bacterial RNase P class A". From Rfam's summary of the family: Ribonuclease P (RNase P) is a ubiquitous endoribonuclease, found in archaea, bacteria and eukarya as well as chloroplasts and mitochondria. Its best characterised activity is the generation of mature 5'-ends of tRNAs by cleaving the 5'-leader elements of precursor-tRNAs. Cellular RNase Ps are ribonucleoproteins. Lineage: Bacteria; Bacillati; Bacillota; Clostridia; Eubacteriales. The record is from RNAcentral.
UGAGUAAGUCAGGCGAUCGCGGCUGCAUAUAUGAUGCAGCUGAGGAAAGUCCGAGCUCCGCAGGGCAGGGUGCUGGGUAACACCCAGUGGAGGCGACUCCAAGGAAAGUGCAACAGAAAGAUACCGCGGGCUGGCUGUUGGAUGGCAGCAGGUGCUCGACCAUUCGACAGCCGGAACGUAAGGGUGGAAAGGUGAGGUAAGAGCUCACCAGCGUCCAGGCGACUGGAACGGCUAUGUAAACCCCACCUGGAGUAAGACCGAAUAGGGGGCAUUAUGUGGUGGCCCGCCACGUCCCGGGUAGAGGUCGCAUGAGCCUAUUGGCAACAAUAGGCCUAGAUAGAUGAUCGCCCAAGACAGAACUCGGCUUACAGACUUAUCUCACAUU